UCUUCUUUGUGACUCUCUCAGUGACAUUUCUCUGAACUUGCACCUCUUCGAUUCAAUUCAUCCUCAUCGUCAUCUGCGUGGGCUAGUACAGGGUUCUGGUGUGGUGUGUAAAACGUCGGUCGUAUACAAGAAGCCAUCUUCCGUAAGACGCAAACUUUUGGCACCUGGAGACGAGACUCACUGGAUAAGUCAGGGAUCUAGCGUCAAGGAAGAAAAAUUAUCAACCUCAUCUCGUUCCUUGCAACCUUCCGAGUCAUAAAAUGAGCAUUUCUUUGACCACCCGCUAAAUUUAUUUUUGUUUGGUGACGACCUCCUUGCUGUCUGGAUGUUUGGUCCACUAAGGUCUUCACAUUGUUUUGUGUGAAGAUAGUGAAGACUUCAUUACUAUGAGA
Pomacea canaliculata is the source of this 392-nucleotide long non-coding RNA. RefSeq lists it as uncharacterized. The transcript has 3 exons. Lineage: Eukaryota; Metazoa; Mollusca; Gastropoda; Architaenioglossa; Ampullariidae. The record is from RefSeq and is a predicted model, not a curated record.